RNAcentral lists this ribosomal RNA (253 nucleotides) under uncultured bacterium. Its description in RNAcentral is "partial 16S ribosomal RNA". It matches the Rfam family "Bacterial small subunit ribosomal RNA", at positions 524 to 776 of the family's 1533-position model. The record is from RNAcentral.
UACGUAGGGUGCAAGCGUUGUCCGGAAUUAUUGGGCGUAAAGAGCUCGUAGGCGGUCUGUCGCGUCGGCUGUGAAAACCCGAGGCUCAACCUCGGGCCUGCAGUCGAUACGGGCAAACUAGAGUACUGCAGGGGAGACUGGAAUUCCUGGUGUAGCGGUGAAAUGCGCAGAUAUCAGGAGGAACACCGGUGGCGAAGGCGGGUCGCUGGGCAGUAACUGACGCUGAGGAGCGAAAGCGUGGGGAGCGAACAGG